Molecule: ribosomal RNA, 498 nt
Filed under: uncultured bacterium
Lineage: Bacteria
Description: partial 16S ribosomal RNA
Rfam family: Bacterial small subunit ribosomal RNA
Source: RNAcentral
AUUGAACGCUGGCGGCAUGCUUUACACAUGCAAGUCGAACGGUAACAGGUCUUCGGAUGCUGACGAGUGGCGAACGGGUGAGUAAUACAUCGGAACGUGCCUGGUAGUGGGGGAUAACUACUCGAAAGAGUAGCUAAUACCGCAUGAGAUCUACGGAUGAAAGCAGGGGACCUUCGGGCCUUGUGCUACUAGAGCGGCUGAUGGCAGAUUAGGUAGUUGGUGGGGUAAAGGCUUACCAAGCCGGCGAUCUGUAGCUGGUCUGAGAGGACGACCAGCCACACUGGGACUGAGACACGGCCCAGACUCCUACGGGAGGCAGCAGUGGGGAAUUUUGGACAAUGGGCGAAAGCCUGAUCCAGCAAUGCCGCGUGCCGGAUGAAGGCCCUCGGGUUGUAAACUGCUUUUGUACGGAACGAAAAGCCUGGGGCUAAUAUCCCCGGGUCAUGACGGUACCGUAAGAAUAAGCACCGGCUAACUACGUGCCAGCCGCCGCAGUAA